This 30-nucleotide non-coding RNA is filed under the name Mus musculus (house mouse). The record is from RNAcentral. Lineage: Eukaryota; Metazoa; Chordata; Mammalia; Rodentia; Muridae.
UGGCAUCACAUACCCAUAUAACCUACAGAA